Molecule: ribosomal RNA, 231 nt
Filed under: uncultured bacterium
Lineage: Bacteria
Description: partial 16S ribosomal RNA
Rfam family: Bacterial small subunit ribosomal RNA
Source: RNAcentral
CGGGUGAGUAACACGUGAGAAACCUGCCCUGAAGACGGGGAUAACAGAAGGAAACUUCUGCUAAUACCCGAUACCCCCACCGGAUCACAUGGUCUGGUGAGGAAAUGGAUUCCGCUUCAGGAGGGUCUCGCGGCCUAUCAGCUUGUUGGUGGGGUAAUGGCCCACCAAGGCUUGGACGGGUAGCUGGUCUGAGAGGACGAUCAGCCACACUGGGACUGAGACACGGCCCAG